This 253-nucleotide ribosomal RNA is filed under the name uncultured bacterium. RNAcentral describes it as "partial 16S ribosomal RNA". It matches the Rfam family "Bacterial small subunit ribosomal RNA", at positions 524 to 776 of the family's 1533-position model. The record is from RNAcentral.
UACGAAGGGGGCUAGCGUUGCUCGGAUUGAUUGGGAGUAAAGGGUGCGUAGGCGGUUUGUAUAGUAAGACGUGAAAUUCCUGGGCUCAACCUGGGGGCUGCGUUUGAUACGUGCGGACUUGAGUGCGGAAGAGGGUCGUGGAAUUCCCAGUGUAGAGGUGAAAUUCGUAGAUAUUGGGAAGAACACCGGUGGCGAAGGCGGCGACCUGGUCCGAUACUGACGCUGAGGCGCGAAAGCGUGGGGAGCAAACAGG